This 3115-nucleotide long non-coding RNA is filed under the name Homo sapiens (human). RNAcentral describes it as "non-protein coding FGD5-AS1:27". Lineage: Eukaryota; Metazoa; Chordata; Mammalia; Primates; Hominidae. The record is from RNAcentral.
ACCCCCACCCUUGCGCCGGCCGGGCCGGUCAGGGGGAACCCGCUCGCUUCGCCCGGCCGCGGGCGGGGAGGGGAGGGGAGCGGCCCGGCCCACUAUGCAAAGCGCCGGGCGCCGCCGCCGCCACCCCGUGGCAAAGGUAAAAGGGUCGGGUUCAGCCGCCGCCGCGGCGCCUCCAUGUCCGCGCGCCAGGCCCGCCCCCUCCGCCGCCGGCCCGAGCCCGCCCGACCCUCUUUCAAUUUUACCUCAGGAUUUGGCGCCAAAGCGGCCUCGAAGCGGGUCCCGUGUCUGCGGCGGGCGGCCCCCGGCGCGGAGGGCAGGGCGCGGGGAGCCCGGGCUCCCGGUGUCGGCGGAUGGCGGGAGCCCGGGGGCCGCGGGCUCGCGGGGCAGCGGGCGAGAGACGAGACGCCGAGAAUAUGCUUUUUGUCUAAUGAUGUUAGAUAAAAAGCAAAUUUGGAGCAGUUUUCUUAUUCGAGUUCAAAAUGGUUCAUAAAGCAGCGAAGACAACUCAAAACAUCAGUAACACAUUUGGCCCAGGAACUGCUAACAAACAUACAGUGCAGUGGUGGCUUAAGAAGUUUUGCAAGGAAGAGAGCCUUGAAGAUGAGGAACGUGAUAUGGGCCAUGGGAAGUUGACAACGACCAAUUGAGAGCAAUCAUUGAACUACAUGAAAAAUUACAGAAGAACUCAGCGUUGACUAUUCUACGGUCAUUAGGGUCGUUCAGCAUUCGAAGCAAAUUGGAAAGGUGAAAAAGCUUGAUAAGUGGGUGCCUCAUGAGCUGAGCGGAAAUCAAAACUAUCGUUUUGAAGUGUAGUCUUCUUUUAUGCUACGCAACAACAAACCAUUUCUCAAUCGGAUUGUGACAUGUAAUGAAAAGUGAAUUUUAUACAACAACCAGCUCAGUGGUUGGACCAAGAGGCAGCUCCAAAGCAGUUCCCAAAGCCAAACUUGCACCAAAAAAAAGGUCAUGGUCACUGUUCGGUGGUCUGCUGCCCAUCUGAUCCACUACAGUUUUCUGAAUCCUGGUGAAACCAUUACAUCUGAGAAGUAUGCUCAGCAAAUUGGUAAGAUGCACCGAAAACUGCAAUACCUGCUGCCUGCAUUGGUCAACAGAAAGGGCCCAAUUCUUCUCCACGACAACACCUGACUGCGUGUCGCACAACCAGUGCUUCAAAAGUUGAAGGAAUUGGGCUACAAAGUUUUGCCUCAUCCACCAUAUUCACCUGACCUUUCGCCAACUGACUACCACUUCUGCUAGCAUCUUGACAACUUUUUGCAGGGAAAACACUUCAGCAUGGUGCAGAAAAUGCUUUCCAAGAGUUCGUCAAAUCCUGAAGCACGGAUUUUUAUGCUACAGGAAUAAACAAACAUUUCUCAUUGGCAAAAAUGUGUUGAUUGUAAUGGUUCCUGUUUUGAUUAAUAGAAUAUGUUUUAGCGUAGUUACAAUGAUUUAAAAUUCGCAGUCUGGAAAUUUAAUUUUUGCAUCAACCUAAUAUUUCUAUGGUAAAUCCUUGCAAACAUGGAAACAAUGCAUUUGGCCCAGUGCUUUGUGGUUGUGUACUCUUUUUCUUUGUUUUUUUAAUAGAUGGCAUUGGCCGGGCAUGGUGGCUCAUGCCUGUAAUCCCAGCAUUUUGGGAAGGUGAGGUGGGUGGAUCACCUGAGGUCAGGAGUUCAAGACCAGCCUGACUAACAUGGUAAAACCCCAUCUCUACUAAAAAUACAAAAAAAUUAGCUAGGCGGGGUGGCGGGCAUCUAAUUCCAGCUACUUCAUGAGGCUGCGACAGGAGAAUCAUUUGAACUCGGGAGGCAGAGGUUGCAGUGAGCCGAGAUCACACCAUUGCACUCCAGCCUGGGCGAUGAGCGAAACUGUCUCAAAAAAAAAAAAAGUUGGGGUCUCGCUGUGUUGACCAGGCUGGUCUCGAACUCCUGGCCUCAAGUGAUCCUCCCAUCUUGGCCUCCCAAAGUGUUAGGAUUACAGGCGUGAGCCACCACACCCUGCCUGGUUGUGUACUCUUUUAAAUACUAAGUUUUUAAUGUUAAAUGCUGCUUUUAGAUACACUGUAAAAAUACACCUAUCAAUGAGUUUUUUUAUUAAAAACAUUGCAAUUGUACUAGACUUUAAAUACUAAGCAAUAAUUCAGGCUUCAAUGUUGGUUUAUAGUUUUCUCAUUUCUUUCAUUUAAUACCUCUGUAAAAUGAAGCAGUUACUUCCAUUUUCCUGAGGUGAGAUAAGUGCCCUGCACAAUGUUAUAGGCCCAGUAAGUGAGACUGGAGCUCUGAUCUAAUCCCUUUGACAUUAAAGUUUGUGCAGUAAACCAGCUAUGUCAGUUUGCCACAUUUGUAAUAGUGUUCAAUAAAUUUUCACUUAAAGGUUUAAUAUUAAAGUAGUAGCAAGAAUUCAUAACCUUAAUUGGCUUUAACAGCUUUUCUUUCCCUGAAAACAGAUGCAUAUGUACACAUGCACACAGAUUGCUUACAAUAUCAGCACGUAAAAGGCCUUUGCACAUUGAAGUCGGCACUGCUUUGGUGCCUUUUUUGUUUUUUGGCUCGGUGUUUUGACUGCAAGUCUUUUUGGAUAGAAUUUUAUAGUUAGAAAGUAGCUAACACUUGGGUUUUAUAGGCACAAAAAACAAGUCUUAUACUAGCUGUACUUUAUUUUUUGAGUUCUUAUUAAUGAGGAACAUCCACUUUUGCAUUGACAGUGAUUUCAAGAUUGCUUUAUCAGCCUUUAAAGGAUUCUUGACUAGUCGUGCACAUCAGAACUGCCAGGUCCCCAGUGGUUCUGAAGCAGUAAGCUUUGGGUGGGCUCUGGCAUCAGCACUUUCACUAAGCUUCACAGAUAAUUCUGAUGCAUACUCCAGGCCUGAACCACUGAUCAAUUUGAAACAUGCAUAACAAAGCAAAAAAAGUUUUGUUUCACCUUUUGAAAUACAGUUAACUCUUUUACCAUGCCAGAGAUCAUUCAGAGAGACAGGUCGUUGCUCCGGAGUGAUACAGAUCUGGCAGUACCCAGCCCUUGUGUGUGUGCGUUAGCUCAGCACCUGCCCACACUGCGAGCCCCCGUAGGAUGUGCCUUGUCCUUCCCUGUUUCAGCACUUAACACACUACCUGCCCCU